Molecule: ribosomal RNA, 319 nt
Filed under: uncultured eukaryote
Lineage: Eukaryota
Description: partial 18S ribosomal RNA
Rfam family: Eukaryotic small subunit ribosomal RNA
Source: RNAcentral
CCCUUAGAUGUUCUGGGCCGCACGCGUGCUACACUGAGUGGAUCAGCGGGUCAGGUUGCGCGAAAGUGUUUCCUAAUCUUUAAAUCCGCUCGUGAUGGGGAUUGACGGUUGCAAUUUUCCGUCAUGAACGAGGAAUACCUUGUAAGCGCGGGUCAUCAUCCCGCGCUGAAUACGUCCCUGCCCUUUGUACACACCGCCCGUCGCUCCUACCGAUUGAAUGCUCAGGUGAGCCAUUCGGACCUUCAUCAUGCCGGUUUCCGGUUUUGAUGAGGGAAAGUCUUGCGAACCUUAUCAUUUAGAGGAAGGAGAAGUCGUAACA